GGGCCCGCACAAGCGGUGGAGCAUGUGGUUUAAUUCGAUGCAACGCGAAGAACCUUACCUACCCUUGACAUCCAUAGGAUUUUGCAGAGAUGCGAAAGUGCCGAAAGGAACUAUGAGACAGGUGCUGCAUGGCUGUCGUCAGCUCGUGUUGUGAGAUGUUGGGUUAAGUCCCGUAACGAGCGCAACCCUUAUCUUUAGUUGCCAUCACGUAAUGGUGGGGACUCUAAAGAGACUGCUGGUGAUGAACCGGAGGAAGGCGGGGACGACGUCAAGUCAUCAUGGCCUUUAUGGGUAGGGCUACACACGUGCUACAAUGGUCGGUACAGAGGGGCGCCAACUCGCGAGAGGGAGCCAAUCCCAGAAAGCCGAUCGUAGUCCGGAUUGGAGUCUGCAACUCGACUCCAUGAAGUCGGAAUCGCUAGUAA
RNAcentral lists this ribosomal RNA (425 nucleotides) under uncultured bacterium. Its description in RNAcentral is "bacterial SSU rRNA". It matches the Rfam family "Bacterial small subunit ribosomal RNA", at positions 917 to 1341 of the family's 1533-position model. The record is from RNAcentral.